This 306-nucleotide unclassified non-coding RNA is filed under the name plant metagenome. RNAcentral describes it as "partial contains 5.8S ribosomal RNA, internal transcribed spacer 2, and large subunit ribosomal RNA". The stretch from base 1 to 105 matches the Rfam family "5.8S ribosomal RNA", at positions 50 to 154 of the family's 154-position model. The record is from RNAcentral.
GAAAUGCGAUAAGUAAUGUGAAUUGCAGAAUUCAGUGAAUCAUCGAAUCUUUGAACGCACAUUGCGCCCGCCAGCACUCUGGCGGGCAUGCCUGUUCGAGCGUCAUUUCAACCCUCAGAACCCCUUGCGGGAUCUGGCGUUGGGGAUUGGCAUCCAGCCAGCCCCGAAAUCUAGUGGCGGUCCCUCCGCGACCUCCCCUGUGCAGUAGCGAUACCUCGCAGCGGGACAGCGGUCUGACCACGCCGUAAAACCCCCAACUUCUCAAGGUUGACCUCGAAUCAGGUAGGAAUACCGCUGAACUUAAGC